GUGACUAAAAUACUCAAUGAGUCAACCGUCAAGAGAGGGCACCCCUACUUAGGGUUGCUGGGGUGAUCAGGCCCAGAAACCCAAAGUUGGGGCUCCCAGGGGUGGAGCCUUUUACUCUUUAAAGAUUUCUUUGUUUCCCAGUUGCAAAGCUCAAAAGGAGAUGAAAAUGGCCAUUGUAACUCUAAGAGAGACAAAAGAAACGGGUCCAUUACCGUGAAAAAUCCCCCCUGAACUUAGGGCAGUGUCCUACCCGUCUUUCCUGCUGUGGGGUUCCUAUAGCAAGGGGUGAUGGGGGCGUCCCCCGGCAUUGCAUCCCUCGUAUACCUUCCCUGUUAUGCCUGGCAGUAACAGGUGCCUGGUGCCUAUUCUGCCUGGCAGCAUAGGCCUGGUGAAUGGUCCCUGAGAGAAAAGGAGAAAGAAAAGGAGCCAUUACCUUGAAAAUCCCCCCAAUGGGGUUCCUGUAGCAAGGGAUGAUGGGGGCAUCCCUUGAACAUCUUCCCUAUUCUGCCUGGCAGGAAUAGGUGCGUGGUGAAUGGUCCCCAGGAUAAAGGAUAGAGAAAAACAGUGAGGAAUUUUCCGCCAGUCUGGGGGACAUUCUACCCAAUUGCAGCCUGGAGCCAUUCUCCCAAGAAGGGGUUCCCAUACCACCAAAGGUUAGAGUUUGGUACUUUCCUUGAACUGGAGUCCCGAUUGGGACCUUCCCGCAGUUCGAAGAGUGGUCAGGUGCCAUGCAUGGGAGGGAUCCCAAUCCAGCCUUAGGAAAAGAAACCUUCCACGGGAGUCUUGGAGAUUGGCGACCGUCCUAAUGACUUAAGCGGCCGACCUGUGCCCACGUAAAAUUUGUCUAUUAGAGAUAGAGUCAGGAAGGAAUGGAUUAAUUCGUUCUUCAUCACCCUGAGGCUUAAGGUACUGAUUCUCUUCAAGCUGAAUGCCGCGAUUUGCCCCAUAGUGUAGCCAUGGGCAGCAAACGUGGAUUCAUACAGCCAUCCAAGAAAGUUCCCGA
Molecule: long non-coding RNA, 1003 nt
Filed under: Equus caballus (horse)
Lineage: Eukaryota; Metazoa; Chordata; Mammalia; Perissodactyla; Equidae
Description: lncRNA (ENSECAG00000057044.1)
Rfam family: mir-9014 microRNA precursor family (bases 723-813)
Source: RNAcentral